GGGGGGGGGGGGGGGGGGGGGGGGGGCGGGGGGGGGGAGCGGUGGAGGGGGGGGUUGCUCUUCGGGGUGAGUUGGGAGCGGGUGGGUAGCGCGUAGGUAACCUGCCUGGUAGCGGGGGGUAACUAUUGGAAGCGAUAGCUAAUCCCGCAUGACAGCAGUUAUUGCAUGGUAAGUGUUUGAAAGGGGCCACUGCUCCACUACCAGCUAGACCUGCGUUGUAUUAGCUAGUUGGUGAGGUAACGGCUCACCACGGCGACGAUACAUAGCAGACCUGAGAGGGUGAUCGGCCACACUGGGACUGAGACACGGCCCAGACUCCUACGGGAGGCAGCAGUAGGGAAUCUUCGGCAAUGGACGGAAGUCUGACCGAGCAACGCCGCGUGAGUGAAGAAGGUUUUCGGAUCGUAAAGCUCUGUUGUAAGAGAAGAACGAGUGUGAGAGUGGAAAGUUCACACUGUGACGGUAUCUUACCAGAAAGAGACGGCUAACUACGUG
Molecule: ribosomal RNA, 495 nt
Filed under: uncultured bacterium
Lineage: Bacteria
Description: partial 16S ribosomal RNA
Rfam family: Bacterial small subunit ribosomal RNA
Source: RNAcentral